CGAUUCAGAAAACCACACCAAACCCCAUAUCCAUUACCCUGCUAGUAUAUAGACGUACUCAAGGUAUAUUGACAAUCCCAGCCAAACCCACACAAAGUACGCUUGUCAAUCCCAAUCAUAUGUAUGUAUGCUAACAUAUCCUGGGUACAUAAUCCAGUGGCUUGAAAUUCAUUUUCAUAAACCACAGUAAAAUAUGAAUUUUCAACAUGAUGAACCCUAAUCCAGAGAUUCCAAUCAAAUCAUUUCCAUAAAAUUGUUUUAUCGAUGGUCUGUAGGGCUUGGCUGUGGAGUUAGAGGCAAAUUCGUGGCUUCAAACUUGAUGGGAAAAAAAUAGGGGUAUGGAGGUUGAAAUUGAUUGGUGCUAGUCAAAACCAUGCUCGCUUGUGCCUUGCGCGUUGAAGAUGAUCGGUGCUAGUAAAAAACAUGCUCGCUUGUGCCUUGCGCGCACUAUCGCUCACCCUACACAUGCCUCGGGUUCGUUGCUGUCAUGCCUUGUUGCUCACCCUCACGCGCAUACGUUUGCCCUUGCUCAUGUGUCAUCUGCUCGUCUGCCCAUCCAUCUACUCGAGGGCACUCGUCCCGCACACCAGCACGUCCCUAUGCGCACGCCCUAACACCCAGUGUGAAUGCCCAGUGCCCAGUGAUGCCUAUCCACAUGCCUUCUAUCGCCCACAGCUGCCCAUUGGCUUUGUUUUGGCCAUUUGGUAUUCUGUUGUGCUUGCAUUGAGGACCAUGAUGGAGAAUGUGAUGUUAGUGGUUUCAUAAGUUCCCAUAGAGGUAUUGGCUUGGCAGUUAUGCAAGGUAUGGUAGAAGUUGUAUCAAUGGUUGAAAAACUUCCGACUCAGGCAAGUAGGAGGAAGUUGUACCUUAAAUUUUAACAAAGUUUAUCGGCAUUUGGCGAAAAAGAAAAAUCUUGGAAGGUGGUAUUCCAAAUAGUCUACUCUUUAUGAUGAAAUAAGUUAAUUCUCUAAGUUGAAAAUUAUGAUUGUCGGUGAAGACAAUUGUUGUAGCCAAAGUGGUAGAUUCUUCAAAUAUCUUGUCAGGUGGUAUUUGUUACAUUUUGACAAAAUCAAAAUAUUAAAAUUGCAGUUGUCCCAUAUCUAAAAGGAAGAAAAUGAUGGAUUCGAAGCAU
Molecule: long non-coding RNA, 1132 nt
Organism: Benincasa hispida (wax gourd)
Lineage: Eukaryota; Viridiplantae; Streptophyta; Magnoliopsida; Cucurbitales; Cucurbitaceae
Source: RefSeq, a predicted model, not a curated record